GGGGGUAUAGCUCAGUUGGGAGAGCGCUUGACUGGCAGUCAAGAGGUCUGGGGUUCAAGUCCCCAUAUCUCCACCA
RNAcentral lists this transfer RNA (76 nucleotides) under Clostridiaceae bacterium. RNAcentral's name for it is "tRNA-Ala". It matches the Rfam family "tRNA". From Rfam's summary of the family: Transfer RNA (tRNA) molecules are approximately 80 nucleotides in length. Their secondary structure includes four short double-helical elements and three loops (D, anti-codon, and T loops). RNAcentral also lists the same sequence under 1 other name. Lineage: Bacteria; Bacillati; Bacillota; Clostridia; Eubacteriales; Clostridiaceae. The record is from RNAcentral.